UCUUACGCAAACCGCGACCCC
This 21-nucleotide ribosomal RNA is filed under the name Cardiospermum corindum. RNAcentral describes it as "partial 26S ribosomal RNA". Lineage: Eukaryota; Viridiplantae; Streptophyta; Magnoliopsida; Sapindales; Sapindaceae. The record is from RNAcentral.